ACUUAAAUAGCUCAAGGAUAGAGUAUGAUAUUGAAGAUAUUAAGGUAAUAUAUAAUUAUAUUUUUAAGUA
Molecule: transfer RNA, 70 nt
Filed under: Onthophagus fimetarius
Lineage: Eukaryota; Metazoa; Arthropoda; Insecta; Coleoptera; Scarabaeidae
Description: tRNA-Phe
Source: RNAcentral